AUACGGAGGGUGCAAGCGUUACUCGGAAUCACUGGGCGUAAAGCGCGCGCAGGCGGCUAUUUAAGUUGGAUGUGAGAGCCUACGGCUCAACCGUAGAACUGCAUCCAAAACUAUUUAGCUAGAGUGUGGGAGAGGAAGAUGGAAUUAGUUGUGUAGGGGUAAAAUCCGUAGAGAUAACUAGGAAUACCAAAAGCGAAGGCAAUCUUCUGGAACACUACUGACGCUGAGGCGCGAAAGCGUGGGGAGCAAACAGGAUUAGAAACCCUAGUAGUCC
RNAcentral lists this ribosomal RNA (274 nucleotides) under uncultured bacterium. Its description in RNAcentral is "partial 16S ribosomal RNA". It matches the Rfam family "Bacterial small subunit ribosomal RNA", at positions 523 to 796 of the family's 1533-position model. The record is from RNAcentral.